ACUCAAAGGAAUAGACGGGGGCCCGCACAAGCGGUGGAGCAUGUGGUUUAAUUCGACGCAACGCGAAGAACCUUACCUACUCUUGACAUCCUGCGGACCUGGCGUAAUGGCCGGGGUGCCGAAAGGAGCGCAGAGACAGGUGCUGCAUGGCUGUCGUCAGCUCGUGUUGUGAGAUGUUGGGUUAAGUCCCGUAACGAGCGCAACCCCUGUCCUUAGUUGCCAUCAUUUAGUUGGGGACUCUAAGGAGACUGCCGGUGAUGAACCGGAGGAAGGCGGGGACGACGUCAAGUCAUCAUGGCCUUUAUGAGUAGGGCCACACACGUGCUACAAUGGGGCGUACAGAGGGAAGCGAACUUGUAAAGGGGAGCCAAUCUCAGAAAGCGCCUCGUAGUCCGGAUUGGGGUCUGCAACUCGACCCCAUGAAGUCGGAAUCGCUAGUAAUCGCGGAUCAGCACUGCCGCGGUGAAUACGUUCCCGGGCCUUGUACACACCGCCCGU
This 498-nucleotide ribosomal RNA is filed under the name uncultured bacterium. RNAcentral's name for it is "partial 16S ribosomal RNA". It matches the Rfam family "Bacterial small subunit ribosomal RNA", at positions 899 to 1397 of the family's 1533-position model. The record is from RNAcentral.